This is a long non-coding RNA of Anser cygnoides (Swan goose), 1739 nucleotides long. The record is from Ensembl. Lineage: Eukaryota; Metazoa; Chordata; Aves; Anseriformes; Anatidae.
CUCACACUAACUCCUAUAGGUUUUGUUCUGUGUGCUUGGAGAAAUUUGGCUGAGACACAUGCAGGUAAGCUCUGGUUCUUCGAGCAGCUUGGAGCAGAGUUGCUUCUCCUCCUUCCUUACCUCCCCACCUUGCAGGUAACGUCCCGGGAGCCCCCAACAGCCUCCCUUGCUCAUCCACCUCAGAGGGCUGUGAUCUCCACAGGCUUCCUCUCAGGGGACCCAGAACUACUCAGGAAAUUGGUUGGGUCCUAUGCUCCUUCAUGGUCUGCCACAGCUGAGAUCCUGGAGUACAUCGUCCUAUCCGUCUCUGCCCAGAGGGAUCCUUCUUGUGUACACAGAGUGAGCUGGGUGGUGAGCACGAAUGACAUGGGGAUCUGCCUCAGAUACACACUCGUGACCUCAACCGAAAUGGUAAUGUAGACACACACAUGGUCCUGCAUAGUUUCCACUUGCCUCCAGCUGCAGAGUUGGUAAGCUGACUAUUUAAUCAUUAGUGUCAUGUUGUAUUGGUACAAUCGCUGUGCUAUCAGCAGCUGUAAUGCUCUAAGGACGUAAGUAGAGCAAGUUCAGCAAAGACAAUAUUUUUUAUUAGAUCAGCUGAUAUAGCUGAAAGAAAAGCAGACAAGAUUUUUAUUCCCCAUGGGAGACUCUUGGAUGUGAAAUAGAGGUCUUCUGUUUCCAGCAGGAUCGUCAAUGUGCUUCCUUAAGUUAGAGGUCCUGGAGGUGGGUGGGUAAGUGAAAAUAGCUAAAAAAUUAGAUAAAAUGUGGAACAAAUGCCUGUGGAAGUGUGGAACAUUUCCUUCAUAAAACCAGGACUGACAUCUCUUUCCCUACAAUGUGAUGCUCACGUGCUAGUACCAAUCAGAUGUGUGGUGCAGGAAACCACCAGGUGCAACAUAAGGCACAUAAUGUCAAGGUGCCAAGAGCAGAAAAAAACUCUGUCUGUCUCAAGAGAAAGACCAUAGUUUAAUGUUACUAACUCCUGAACACAUCAGUAAAAAGGAGAAUCUGAGUUUUCAAACCUGGUAAGAUUCUACCAUUAAUUAAAAUUACUGUGCUAAAUUUCUACUGGCAAAAAUGCAGAGGUCUAUAUUGUACACACAAAAAAGCUAUUUUCUACAGGGUGUGUGGAAUCAUUGCUCAAUAACAACGAGAAGAUCUCAUUCCUUGUUUGUUGGAGUAGCUGUGGUGAGCUGCAGUACCAGGACCAUCAAACAUUAUGAAAGGUAUCCAAAUAAGCAGCACAAAAGCUUUACUACAGGCACUUCCUAGGCUGACUGAAGAAUUAACAACUAAUUCACAUGAUAAAGUUUUUCCCCUUAAUUGUUUGAAAGCUGUCCAAAAAUAUGGAAAUUUAUUUUAUUUUAUUUUAUUUUAUUUGUUUUGUUUUUAAUUUUUUUGGCUUGGCUUAUUAAUCUACUUGCUACUUCCAGUUCUUCAAUGAAUAUUUCAUGCAAGCCAGCUCCAACUUGGGUAACUUUUGGAAUGAUCUGCUGUGAGUACUCCUUCAAGCAUUCAUUAUUCGUCAUUCAAUAUUGAAAGUGGUUGAUUUGACACCUGGGUCAAAUGGAGGCCUUAAAGAAGCCACAGACCUCUCUUUUCUGGAUGCCAGUCAUGAAAAACGUCCCCACUCCUGGGUUUGUGGCUGUAGGGGUCCAGCAGAUGCUGUUAGGCUGACACAGCUAAGAAUACUCUGCACUUAAAAUAAACACAAAGCCAUCUAUUUUAGCGUGAAGAAA